UACGUAGGGGGCAAGCGUUGUCCGGAUUUAUUGGGCGUAAAGAGCGUGUAGGCGGCCACACAGGUCCGCUGUGAAAACUCGAGGCUCAACCUCGAGCUGUCGGUGGAAACCGUGUGGCUAGAGUCCGGAAGAGGAGAGUGGAAUUCCCGGUGUAGCGGUGAAAUGCGUAGAUAUUGGGAGGAACACCAGAGGCGAAGGCGGCGAACUGGACGGCAACUGACACUCAACUGCGAAAGCGUGGGGAGCAAACAGG
Molecule: ribosomal RNA, 253 nt
Filed under: uncultured bacterium
Lineage: Bacteria
Description: partial 16S ribosomal RNA
Rfam family: Bacterial small subunit ribosomal RNA
Source: RNAcentral